Molecule: signal recognition particle RNA, 264 nt
Filed under: Anaerobutyricum soehngenii
Lineage: Bacteria; Bacillati; Bacillota; Clostridia; Lachnospirales; Lachnospiraceae
Description: signal recognition particle sRNA large type
Rfam family: Bacterial large signal recognition particle RNA
About the family: The signal recognition particle (SRP) is a universally conserved ribonucleoprotein involved in the co-translational targeting of proteins to membranes. Archaeal SRP consists of a 7S RNA and homologues of the eukaryotic SRP19 and SRP54 proteins.
Source: RNAcentral
CCGUGCAGCUGGGAAGUUAGCGGCGUCCUAUACCUGAAAUCCGCUAUAGCAGGAGUGAUGGUCAGCCUCGGAUGUCUUAUUGAUGGAGCUGCCCUUUAUAAGUGGUGUUGACAAUUGGGUCUCGCGCAACAGGAAUCUCUGAACCGUGUCAGGUCGGGAACGGAGCAGCACUAAGGAGUCUCUCCUGUGUGCCGUGAGGGUGCCUGGUUCGAGCUAACUGUAGAGGUAACGUCUGUUGGUAAGCAUACAAAGCUGACCGCACGG